GCCGGGCGCAGUGGCGCAUGCCUGUAGUCCUAGCUACUCGGGAGGCUGAGGUGGGAGGAUUGCUUAAGCCCAGGAGUUCUGGGCUGUAGUGCGCUAUGCCAAUCGGGUGUCUGCACUAAGUUCGGCAUCAAUAUGGUGACCUCCUGGGAGCGGGGUACCACCAGGUUGCCUAAGGAGGGGUGAACGUGCCCAGGUCGGAAACGGAGCAGGUCAAAACUCCCGUGUAUGAUCAGUAGUGGGAUCGCGCCUGUGAAUAGCCGCUGCACUCCAGCCUGGAAACAUAGCUAGAUCCUGUCUCU
This 299-nucleotide signal recognition particle RNA is filed under the name Aotus nancymaae (Ma's night monkey). RNAcentral's name for it is "Metazoan signal recognition particle RNA (ENSANAG00000009791.1)". It matches the Rfam family "Metazoan signal recognition particle RNA". Rfam says of the family: The signal recognition particle (SRP) is a universally conserved ribonucleoprotein. It is involved in the co-translational targeting of proteins to membranes. Lineage: Eukaryota; Metazoa; Chordata; Mammalia; Primates; Aotidae. The record is from RNAcentral.